Molecule: ribosomal RNA, 509 nt
Filed under: Enterococcus faecium
Lineage: Bacteria; Bacillati; Bacillota; Bacilli; Lactobacillales; Enterococcaceae
Description: bacterial SSU rRNA
Rfam family: Bacterial small subunit ribosomal RNA
Source: RNAcentral
UAGAGUUUUGAUCAUGGCUCAGGACGAACGCUGGCGGCGUGCCUAAUACAUGCAAGUCGUACGCUUCUUUUUCCACCGGAGCUUGCUCCACCGGAAAAAGAAGAGUGGCGAACGGGUGAGUAACACGUGGGUAACCUGCCCAUCAGAAGGGGAUAACACUUGGAAACAGGUGCUAAUACCGUAUAACAAUCGAAACCGCAUGGUUUUGAUUUGAAAGGCGCUUUCGGGUGUCGCUGAUGGAUGGACCCGCGGUGCAUUAGCUAGUUGGUGAGGUAACGGCUCACCAAGGCCACGAUGCAUAGCCGACCUGAGAGGGUGAUCGGCCACAUUGGGACUGAGACACGGCCCAAACUCCUACGGGAGGCAGCAGUAGGGAAUCUUCGGCAAUGGACGAAAGUCUGACCGAGCAACGCCGCGUGAGUGAAGAAGGUUUUCGGAUCGUAAAACUCUGUUGUUAGAGAAGAACAAGGAUGAGAGUAACUGUUCAUCCCUGACGGUUACCGAGCCCG